UACGUAGGGUGCAGGCGUUAUUCGGAAUUACUGGGCGUAAAGCGUGCGCAGGCGGUUUGCUAAGACAGGUGUGAAAUCCCCGGGCUCAACCUGGGAAUGGCAUUUGAAACUGGCGUGCUAGAGUGAAUCAGAGGGGGGUAGAAUUCCACGUGUAGCAGUGAAAUGCGUAGAGAUGUGGAGGAACACCGAUGGCGAAGGCAGCCCCCUGGGAAAUCACUGACGCUCAAGCACGAAAGCGUGGGGAGCAAACAGG
Molecule: ribosomal RNA, 253 nt
Filed under: uncultured bacterium
Lineage: Bacteria
Description: partial 16S ribosomal RNA
Rfam family: Bacterial small subunit ribosomal RNA
Source: RNAcentral